This 2771-nucleotide ribosomal RNA is filed under the name Alphaproteobacteria bacterium. RNAcentral describes it as "23S ribosomal RNA". It matches the Rfam family "Bacterial large subunit ribosomal RNA". The record is from RNAcentral. Lineage: Bacteria; Pseudomonadati; Pseudomonadota; Alphaproteobacteria.
UAUCAAGCGUCAAAGGGCAUUUGGUGAAUGCCUUGGCACUGAGAGGCGAUGAAGGACGUAGUACGCUGCGAUAAGCUGCGGGGAGGUGCGAACAACCUUUGAUCCGCGGAUUUCCGAAUGGGGCAACCCGACCCUUUGGGUCAUCGUAAAAUGAAUUCAUAGUUUUACGAAGCGAACCCGGUGAACUGAAACAUCUAAGUAACCGGAGGAAAGGACAUCAACCGAGACUCUGUGAGUAGUGGCGAGCGAAAGCGGAAGAGGCCAGUGGCGUCAAUUUAAGAACCAGAACUGUUUGGAAAAGCAGACCAUAGUGGGUGAUAGUCCCGUAUGGGUAGAAAAAGUUGACGUCCUUGAGUAAGGCGGGACACGUGAAAUCCUGUCUGAACAUGGGGGGACCACCCUCCAAGCCUAAGUACUCCUCAGUGACCGAUAGUGCACAAGUACCGUGAGGGAAAGGUGAAAAGAACCCCGACGAGGGGAGUGAAAUAGAAUCUGAAACCGAAUGCCUACAAGCAGUAGGAGCCUCGUUUGAUCUUCGGGUCAAUCAGGGGUGACUGCGUACCUCUUGUAUAAUGGGUCAGCGACUUAGUCUUACGAGCAAGCUUAAGCCGAUAGGUGUAGGCGUAGCGAAAGCAAGUCUUAAUAGGGCGUUAAGUUCGUAGGAUUAGACCCGAAACCGAGUGAUCUAGCCAUGGGCAGGUUGAAGAAUGGGUAACACCAUUUGGAGGACCGAACCCACGUCUGUUGAAAAAGACGGGGAUGACCUGUGGUUAGGGGUGAAAGGCUAAUCAAACUCGGAAAUAGCUGGUUCUCCGCGAAAUCUAUUUAGGUAGAGCGUCGAUUGUUUACCGCCGGGGGUAGAGCACUGGAUGGGCUAGGGGGGCGCGAGCCUUACCAAACCCAACCAAACUCCGAAUACCGGUGAGUAUAGAUCGGCAGACAGACCAUGGGUGCUAAGGUCCGUGGUCGAGAGGGAAAGAGCCCAGACCAUCAGCUAAGGUCCCUAAGUCAUGGCUAAGUGGGAAAGGAUGUGGGAAGACCAAGACAGCCAGGAGGUUGGCUUAGAAGCAGCCAUCCUUUAAAGAAAGCGUAAUAGCUCACUGGUCUAGAUAAGUCGUCCUGCGCCGAAAAUGUAACGGGGCUAAAGCCAUGCACCGAAGCUAUGGGUGUAUAUCAAAUAUCGUUUUGAUAUAUGCAGUAGCGGAGCGUUCCGUAAGCCUGUGAAGGGAUUUUGUAAAGAAUCCUGGAGGUAUCGGAAGCGAGAAUGCUGACAUGAGUAGCGAUAAAGAGUGUGAGAAACACUCUCGCCGUAAGUCCAAGGGUUCCUGCGCAAGGUUAAUCCGCGCAGGGUGAGCCGGUCCCUAAGGCGAGGGCGAAAGCCGUAGUCGAUGGGAACCUGGUUAAUAUUCCAGGGCCUGCUGGAGGUGACGGAUGCUGUAAGUUGUCUUUGCUUAUUGGAUUGCAAAGGCAGCGAAGGUGUCCCAGGAAAUAACCCCAGCGUAUAGACCGUACCCCAAACCGACACAGGUGGACUGGUAGAGUAUACCAAGGCGCUUGAGAGAAUGGUGUUGAAGGAACUCGGCAAAAUGCCCUCGUAACUUCGGGAGAAGAGGGCCCUGUUUUUGGGCAACCAGAAGCAGGGGACACAAAAGAGAGGGUAGCGACUGUUUAAUAAAAACACAGGGCUCUGCAAAGCCAGUGAGGCGAUGUAUAGGGUCUGACGCCUGCCCGGUGCCGGAAGGUUAAAAGGAGGGGUGCAAGCUCUGAAUUGAAGCCCCGGUAAACGGCGGCCGUAACUAUGACGGUCCGAAGGUAGCGAAAUUCCUUGUCGGGUAAGUUCCGACCUGCACGAAUGGCGUAACGACUUCCCUGCUGUCUCCAACACCAACUCAGCGAAAUUGAAUUCUCCGUGAAGAUGCGGAGUACCCGCGGUUAGACGGAAAGACCCCGUGCACCUUUACUAUAACUUUGCAGUGGUAUUAGGAAAUGAAUGUGUAGGAUAGGCGGGAGCCUUUGAAGCGCCGGCGCCAGCCGGUGUGGAGGCAACCUUGAAAUACCGCCCUUUCGUUUUCUGAUAUCUAACCAAGCAUGCUGAAGCGCGUGCUGGGACCCUGCAUGGUGGGUAGUUUGACUGGGGCGGUCGCCUCCCAAAGAGUAACGGAGGCGCGCGAUGGUAGGCUCAGGCUGGUCGGAAAUCAGCCGCUGAGUGCAAUGGCAUAAGCCUGCCUGACUGCGAGGCAUACAAGCCGAGCAGAGACGAAAGUCGGUCAUAGUGAUCCGGUGGUUCUUCGUGGAAGGGCCAUCGCUCAACGAAUAAAAGGUACGCCGGGGAUAACAGGCUGAUCUCCCCCAAGAGUCCACAUCGACGGGGAGGUUUGGCACCUCGAUGUCGGCUCAUCACAUCCUGGGGCUGGAGCAGGUCCCAAGGGUAUGGCUGUUCGCCAUUUAAAGUGGUACGUGAGCUGGGUUUAGAACGUCGUGAGACAGUUCGGUCCCUAUCUGCCGUGGGUGUUCGAGAAUUGAGAGGAUCUGUCCUUAGUACGAGAGGACCGGGAUGGACGCACCUCUGGUGUACCGGUUGUGGCGCCAGCCGCAUCGCCGGGUAGCUAUGUGCGGACGGGAUAACCGCUGAAAGCAUCUAAGCGGGAAACCCACCUCAAAACUAGUUCUCGCAUGAGAGCCGUGGAAGACCACCACGUUGAUAGGCCAGAUGUGUAAGUGUCGUAAGGCAUUUAGCUAACUGGUACUAAUAGCUCAAUUGGCUUGAUAUA